UACGGGGGAGCAAGCGUUGUUCGGAUUUACUGGGCGUAAAGGGCGCGUAGGCGGCGUGACAAGUCACUUGUGAAAUCUCCGGGCUUAACUCGGAACGGUCAAGUGAUACUGUCGUGCUAGAGUACAGAAGGGGCAACUGGAAUUCUCGGUGUAGCGGUGAAAUGCGUAGAUAUCGAGAGGAACACCUGCGGCGAAGGCGGGUUGCUGGGCUGAUACUGACGCUGAGGCGCGAAAGCCAGGGAGCGAACGGG
Molecule: ribosomal RNA, 251 nt
Filed under: uncultured bacterium
Lineage: Bacteria
Description: partial 16S ribosomal RNA
Rfam family: Bacterial small subunit ribosomal RNA
Source: RNAcentral